Molecule: ribosomal RNA, 250 nt
Filed under: uncultured prokaryote
Description: partial 16S ribosomal RNA
Rfam family: Bacterial small subunit ribosomal RNA
Source: RNAcentral
UACGGAAGGUCCGGGCGUUAUCCGGAUUUAUUGGGUUUAAAGGGAGCGCAGGCUGAUUAUUAAGCGUGACGUGAAAUGUAGCCGCUCAACGGCUGAACUGCGUCGCGAACUGGUAGUCUUGAGUGAGUUCGAUGUUGGUGGAGUUCGUGGUGUAGCGGUGAAAUGCUUAGAUAUCACGAAGAACCCCGAUUGCGAAGGCAGCUGACGAGUCCUUUACUGACGCUAAAGCUCGAAGGUGCGGGUAUCGAAC